UUUUAAGGACAGUGGCAAACGGGUGCGUAACGCGUAAGCAACCUGCCUCAUACUGGGGGAUAGCCCGGCGAAAGCUGGGGUAAACCCGCACGGUCCAUUUUUAUCACCUGGUAAGAUUGGUAAACAUUUAUGGGUAUGAGAGGGGCUUGCGUCUGAUUAGUUAGUUGGCAGGGUAACGGCCUACCAAGACGAUGAUCAGUAGGGGUUCUGAGAGGAUUGGCCCCCACAUGGGUACUGAGAUACGGACCCAACUCCUACGGGAGGCAGCAGUAGGGAAUAUUGGGCAAUGGAGGCAACUCUGACCCAGCCAUGCCGCGUGCAGGAUGAAGGCGCUCAGCGUUGUAAACUGCUUUUAUUGGUGAAGAACUGUGGUCCUGCGGGAUUACUUGACGGUAGCCAAGGAAUAAGCACCGGCUAACUCCGUGCCAGCAGCCGCGGUAAUACGGAGGGUGCAAGCGUUGUCCGGAUUUAUUGGGUUUAAAGGGUGCGUAGGUGGAACUGUAAGUCUGAUUUGAAAGCAGGCGGCUUAACCGUCUGAUGUGGUUGGAAACUGUGGUUCUUGAAUGGGUUGGCGGUAGCCGGAAUGGGUCAUGUAGCGGUGAAAUGCAUAGAUAUGACCCGGAACACCGAUUGCGAAGGCAGGCUACUACGACUUGAUUGACACUGAGGCACGAGAGCAUGGGUAGCGAACAGGAUUAGAUACCCUGGUAGUCCAUGCCGUAAACGAUGAUUCCUGGCUGUAUGUGUUCUAACAUGUGUGGCUGAGCGAAAGCGUUAAGUAAUCCACCUGGGGAGUACGCUGGCAA
Molecule: ribosomal RNA, 806 nt
Filed under: uncultured bacterium
Lineage: Bacteria
Description: bacterial SSU rRNA
Rfam family: Bacterial small subunit ribosomal RNA
Source: RNAcentral